GUUGACAACCUGGUUCAUAGUAUUCACCAGGAGUGGGCAGGCCUGUGAGCUCAAUGAUAUCAAGAGCUUUAGCUUCAUGAUGGACAUUGCCUGUCAUCCACUCAAGGACCCAAGUCUUUGGAUCCCUGUUGUAGCCUCGAAUGUGGAGAGUUGCAUAGAACUAUAGCAGAAGCUCUUCAUUCCAAUGCUCUUUAUCUGUGACAAACUGCAACAGACCAGCAUCUUUGAAGCAAUAUAACGCUUCUUCAAGGCAGGGCAGGCCAGCUAUAGCUUCAGAGUCGAGGCGCAUAUGUGGAAAUAUGCACUCUUGAUUGUAUAGGAUGCAGGAAUAGUAGCUGCGCUGCUGAUAGCUCCAGAACCGAUCUGAUGAAAUGCGAGGUCUGGUAUAAGGGUUCUUGGAGCUGUUGAAGAAGGUUUUAUGUGCCACUAAGCCAUUCACAUUGAAGACCCCAGGUGAAGUGGCAGUUCCUGGGAAUCAUGGAAGUCUUGGCUUGGGCUUUUGGACUUGAGGUCUGUGCUCGACAUGAUACUCAAAUUGUGGACCCGCAACAGGUGGAGGAACCAGAACGGGCCAGCGGACCAUAACAGGCCGACCAUGAUCAAAUGCCAGCUCAAUUGUAUGAGGUCUUUGAGGGGGAACAGGAGCAUUGACAUUGUCUUCAUGGGCUUCAGGGGCCACAUUGGGUUCAAGUGCUUGUACCUCAGGUGCUUCAGCAUUGACUUCGGGUGCUGUAGUGGCUUCAGAUGCUUGGACUUCUGGCACUGUAGUAGCUUCAGGCAUCGUAUUAGCUUCAGCCAUGACGACGUCAUUGGCUUCAGCGGUGAUGUUAGUGGUUGCCUCAGGGUUGUUAACCUCCACUUCAGGAGCUGGAGGCUUGGACACGUUCUCCUCGAGAACAACAUCUUGGUGGGACAGGGGUGUAGCAACUCUUUCAACUCUUGGUGCUUCUUCUUCAUCGGCUGAUGCAGCCAGAAUAUCUUCAACCAUUUUGGCUUCUGACUCAGACACGUGCAUAGUGGGAGUGACUUGGGGCCUUGGUCCUUUGCGAAGCCUGCGUAAUGCUGGCGACGCUUGUGGAGAUGGAGUGCGCUGGGCCUCAAAGUCAUCGUCUUCUUGCACUGGUGGGGUAGCUUGUGGUUGGGGAGAGCUUGGCGUGUCUUGUCGUUGUGGGUGAUUAGCCCACGAUGCAUCCUGAGCAGUUGGCAUCAUAGGACGACCAAUGCUGAUGAGUUCGCUGUGCGUGAGCACAGGCGAUGAUACCAAUUGGUGCUCGAUCUGAGGAAGGACUUCAUCAUCUGCAACAUUCUCAUGAGGACCAUUGUCUUUAGCUGCGGUGGGGUCAACAGCUAGAUUGUCUUCAGCUUCAGGAGCCUCUGGAGAAGCAGGCUCAUGAAUUACCACUUGGCAUUCUGGAUUUUCAGACGCAGGACGAGCCACUGAGAUUGGCUCGACAUUAAGGGGCUCUGUGGGAGCAGCCCGAUCUCGAUUCUUGGUUUUUCAUUUCUUGGUUGGAGGAGCAUCAUCAGUAGUGCCCUUGGUUUUGCGUAGCAGCCCUUGUUUUCUUCAGUUCCGAAGCCAUUGUGGGGACCUUAGGCUUCGAGCUUGUCAUACUGGCUGGGAAGACAAUUGGAUGUACUUCCUGCCUUGGUGCUUCAGGUUCUGCCACAGCUGGCUUCUUCUUCUUCUUGGCCACCAUUUGGGGGUCGAUCCCUGGUCACCCCAAGGCCUUGCGCUUUUCAGCCUCAAUGUACCCUUGGACACAUUUAGCGGAAGGAUCCUUCAUGCAUUCACGAGAACCCUUGGCUUCUUCACAUUUGGUUCGAAAAGCUUCCUUAAGCUCAUGCAUCAUGGUCUGGAAGUUCUGAAUGUCUUCAACGUCGAGCUUGGCCAUGUGCUUCUUGAACUGAGCCUUUUCAUAAUCGAUCUUAUGCUCCAGUUCAACAAUCUUCUGAGCUAGAGCCAGCUCAGCAGCAAUGGCUCCAUGGAAGGCGACGCUCAGGCCAAUCGGAAGCUGAAGAUCAUCAAAGCUGACAUUUGGGCUGUCAAACCAAUCAUCAAUGAAGGUGUCGAUGAUUUCAACAUCAAAGAGAGGAAGGUCAUUGAAGAUUUCUGCCUCUUGCUUCCUCUUGAUCAGCUGCUCAAGAGCAUCAUCACCAAGAUCGUCGUUGCUGGACAGAUCAAUGGCGUCAUUGCACAGAAUAGCAGCAGCAGUCAGUUAUUGGCUAGUGGGUUGCAAGGGCAUCUUCACUCUGGAGGGCUUGGAGAUGCGUGAAAAAUCUUCAGACUGCACACUGUGUUCAGGAGGUGUAGUGGCCAGAGGCUUCGCCUGUAAGACCUUUGGUGCAGGAGCAGGCUUUGAAGCUUUAGGCUUUUUCAGUUUCUUUAGCUUCGGUGGUGCAGGCGCUUCAUCAGAUUCAGCGUCGUCUGCAGGCUCAUCCACGGCUGUCCCUUGAACCAUGAUAUGAGUGAUGAGACCUUAUAGGUUGUAGAAGGGCCCAACAAGAUUGGGUUCAGCUUCGCGUGUGCCAUCGGCACAAGGAGUAGAGGGUUAAAGUCUAAGCCUCGUGACUUGUUGUUCUCUUUGGCCGAGUUCCUGGAAAACUAAAGGUUGCGCUUGAACAGAUUAUCGUCGCGGCACCACAGUAAUGAAGAUGGGUCUGCAUCUGCAGGCUGUGGCCACACACCAUGCAAGGGUAGAAGCCUUGUUCAAUGGCUUCAGCUCUGGACCUGGGUUGAAGAUUUCUGUAUAGAAUGUCUCCCCAUGGUCGUUUGAUGGCAUUCUUCUCAGCAUACUCUUGGGUCACGAACCUGUACUUGAACCACUGUUCUGCCCAAUAUCUUCGAAUCCAUUGGAUUCGAGUUUUUCGCUGAUUGUAGUCCUCCUCUGGAUCUGCCUUGUACACCACAUAGAGGUCAGGAGGCAAAUCUCUUGAGGUGUUGCCACGAUGCUGUCUGCCACCCUUCCUUGCAGAUUUCUCGGGUGCCAUGAAGUUUAAACUAAAAGGCUUCAAAGUUGUCAAAGUCUUCCGUCUACUGGUCAGACAAGAACUGGCUUCAGGAGAAUUUAUAUGAUGCUGUAAGAAUUCUGCAAAUGAAUGCAGACUAUGAGAACCAAGGGAUUCUCCCACGGACAUGUACCUGUGACAGCAUUAAGGUGCGAGGGAAGGGGAAGAGGUUAUAUGCAUUCUCAGAAGAUUUUGAAGAUAAAUCAGUUUAGAAGACAUUGACCUCAUAGUGCAAAGACAUUCACUCAUAGAUAGAGAGUUGGUUCCAGAUUUGUACAAAUCCACGAAUAAGUACAAGUGACGAAUCUAACUACUUUGUGAAGCAUAAGUGAACAUUCUAGGCAUAUUUAUGAGAUGCAGUAUGAAAUAGAUUCAACUUGUGUGAAUAGAAACUGCUUGUGGUAGAAAAUGAUGAAUCUAUAGGAUCAAAGGGGCCGUAAAAGGAGGUUUUAUUUACUACACAAAGAACUGCUAGACGAAGUGGAAGGGGAGGCCGAGCAGUUCGAAUCUUCCAUGCCCUAACUUGGUGACGGAGGACACCUACGGCGACGACGGAGAAGACGAUGUCCGCAGUCGGCGUGAAGACGACAUCGGUGAGGUCGCGGCAGCAUAGCGCUUCGUCGCCGGCAUCGUCGAGGGAUAGCGGUGGCGCUAGGGUUUGUGCGAGAGUGGAAGAAAGGAUAAUGACUGUGGUGAGGCGUGUAUUUAUAGGGAUAGGGACGACACAGUGUUAUUACACAGGUGCCCCUGGCGAUUCACAUCUGAAGGACAUGUGGCUAUCAUGCAACACAUCGGAGGUUGUUCCAUGUUCCCACACACGCUUAGAUUGUCGAGUGGUCGUUCCCACUUCUUCGGGUUUCAGGUGAAAGGAUUUAGCAUUGAAAAUGGAUUAAUGUUUGUCUCUGUGUCUUCUGCUGACAAGGAUGCAGAGAAGACAUUUUGAUAGUGUCAAUUGAAUGCAUAUGAUUUGGAUAGAUAGACUUGAGAUAGAAGCAUAGAGGGGUUAGGGUCCGAUCACAUUCACUUAGGUCAAAAGAUUCAAUGUGAAGACAUAGCUAUAAGUGAAUGUUGUAGAGGAUAGAAACCAAAUUGAAGAUAAACAUGAGAACUUUUAAUCAUUGAAGACAAACAAAAUGCGAAGACUUUGCAAAUGUAACGCCAUGAGAUAGACACUUCAUAGGGAAAAUGUUGGUGGUGGCGUUACCCACCGUAUAGGAAAUAUUAGACCCAGACAUGGCGCACAAUUAUCGUGGUGCUCUGAAGUCAAAUUCCACAUUAAUAUAUUCACACUCAGAAUGUAAGUCUUCAUUGUUUGAAGAUAUACUUUACUUCGUGUGUUGCACAUCUAAGUCGCCAACAUGCUUAAGUGUUAGGAUGUGUGCCUAAUCACAGGACAUUUGAGGAUUCCAAGAUAUUUAGCUCACACCAUAACUUGCAAAACCUCUUCUCAUCCAAGGGCUUGGUGAAGAUAUCUGUCAAUUGCUCUUCAGUGUUGACGUGUAUGAUAUCAAUAUCUUCCUUCAUAACAUGAUCUCUGAGAAAGUGAUGACGAAUUUCAAUGUGCUUUGUCUUCGAGUGCUGAACUGGGUUGUUGGCAAUCUUGAUGGCGCUUUCAUUGUCGCAAUAGAGUGGCACUUGCUUCAGAUGAAUGCCAUAGUCUUUGAGUGUUUGCUUCAGCCAUAGAAGCUGAGCACAGCAAGAUCCAGCAGCAAUGUAUUUAGAUUCAGCCAUGGAGAGAGAUACACAGUUCUGCUUCUUUGAAGACCAACAUACAAGUGAUCGUCCCAGAAAAUGACAUGUGCCUGAUGUAGACUUGCGAUCCACCUUGUCACCAGCAUAAUCAGCAUCCGAGAAUCCAGCUAGAUCAAACUCCGAGCCCUUUGGAUACCAUAAUCCUAGUGUUGGGGUGUGAGCCAAAUAUCUGAGAAUUCGCUUGACAGCUAAGUGAUGCGAUUCCUUUGGUGCCGCAUGGAACCGGGCACACAUGGAAACACUAAGCAUGAUAUCUGGCCUAGAUGCACAUAAUAAAGCAAGGAACCAAUCAUGGAGCGGUAUACCUUUUGAUCGAACUCUUUACCAUUGUCGUCGGGACCCAGAUGGUGUUUGGCUGGCAUUGGCGUCAUGUAGCCUUUGCAGUCUUGCAUUCCAAAUUUCUUCAGGCAAUCUUUGAGGUAUUUCUCUUGGGAUAUGAAGAUGUCGUUGCGUUGCUGACGUAUUUGAAGACCAAGGAAGAACUUCAGCUCACCCAUCAUGGACAUUUGAUAUUGCUCUUGCAUCAUGUAUCCAAACUCAUCACUGUAUUUCUGAUUAGUGCAGCCGAAGAUAAUGUCAUCCACAUAUAUUUGGCACACAAACAGUUCACCAUCAUAUGUCUUCGUGAAGAGAGUGGGAUCGAGAGAGCCAGGUUUGAAGCCUUUGCUCUUCAGAAAGUCUUUGAGUGUGUCAUACCAAGCCCGAGGGGCUUGUUUGAGGCCAUACAGUGCCUUGUUGAGCUUGUACACCAUGUCAGGAUGUUUUGGAUCUUCAAAGCCAGGUGGUUGUGCAACAUACACUUCUUCUUCAAUCUUGCCAUUGAGAAAAGCGCUCUUCACAUCCAUUUGAUAUAGAAGAAUGUUAUGAUGAUUUGCAUAGGCCAGCAAUAUGCGUAUAGCUUCAAGCCUAGCCACAAGCGCAAAUGUUUCAUCAAAGUCAAUCCCUUCAACUUGAGUGUAUCCUUGAGCAACGAGACGAGCUUUGUUUCCGACAACUUGACCAUGCUCAUCGUGCUUGUUGCGAUAUAUCCACUUAGUGCCUAUUAUAUUGUGCUUGCGAGGACCAGGACGCUUAACCAGUUCCCACACAUUAUUCAGCUCAAACUGUUGAAGCUCUUCUUACAUAGCUUGAAUCCAUUCAGGUUCCAUGAAGGCUUCAUCAACUUUCUUGGGUUCAGAUAUUGAGACGAAUGCGAAGUUCCCAUGGAAGUUAGCUAGCAGUGUUGCCCUUGAACGAGUGAGUGGACCUGGUGCAUUGAUGCUGUCAAUUAUCCUUUCAAUCUGUACUUCAUUUGCAACACGAGGAUCGACAGGACAAAGAUUUUGCUCUUGCUUAUCAUUAUCAUCGUUAGAAGGAUUGUCUUCAGGAUGAGCAUUGUCUUCAGAUUGAUCAGGUGCAGAGAUGAUAAGUUCCUCUUCAGGCUGAGCUUCAGAUGGUAUGAUUUCUCCAGUUGCCAUAAGUUUGAUUGAGUCACUGGAUGGAACUUCAUCUAGCACAUUUGGUAGGUGCUCUCUUUGCGAGCCGUUAGUCUCAUCGAACCGCACAUCCACAGUUUCAACCACUUUAUAGUGAAAGAGGUUGAAGACUAUGUAGGAGUGCGAAUCCUUUCCAUAUCCAAGCAUAAAACCUUCAUGUGCUUUCGGUGCAAAUUUUGAAGUGUGAUGUGGAUCCUUGAUCCAGCACCUGGCGCCAAAUACUCUGAAGUAACUGGCAUUUGGCUUCUUGCCAGUAAGGAGCUCAUAGGAUGUCUUGUUCAGAAGCUUGUGAAGAUAAACACGGUUGAUGAUAUGGCAUGCAGCACCAAUGGCUUCAGGCCAGAACUUUCUUGGAGUCUUGUAUUCAUCAAGCAUCGUCCGGGCCAUCUCAAUAAGUGUUCUGUUCUUGCGUUCCACGACGUAAUUCUGCUGCGGCGUGUACGGAGUUGAGAAUUCAUGUGUGAUGCCCAAAGUAUCAAGAUAACUAUCUAGGCCAGUGUUCUUGAAUUCAGUGCCAUUGUCACUUCUGAUGUGCUUGAUCUUGACGCCAUAGUUGUUCAUGGCUCGAUUGGCGAAGCGUCUGAAGACAUCCUGCACUUCAGUCUUGUAGAGGAUUAUAUGCACGAAAGUAUAUCUUGAAUAAUCAUCAACAAUGACAAAGCCAUAGAGACAAGCAGUAGUAGUAAGAGUUGAGUAAUGAGUGGGACCGAAAAGGUCCAUGUGGAGCAGUUCGAAGGGUUGCGUCGUUGUCAUGAUUGUCUUCGAGGGAUGCUUGGCCCUCGUCAUCUUUCCUGCUUCACAGACACCACAUAAGUGAUCCUUCUUGAACUUGACGCCCUCGGUGCCUAUGACAUGAUUCUUCUUUGCAAGGGUGUGCAGGUUCCUCAUGCCAGCAUGCCCUAGCCUCCGAUGCCAGCGCCAACAUUCAGAAGCUUUUGCUAGAAGACAUACGUCAAGUUGAGGUCCUGCUGAGAAAUCUACCACGUACAAGUCAUCUUUCCAAUACCCUUCAAAGACUAGAGAUUUGUCAGAUUCCAUUAGAAGAAGGCAACGAUAUUUUCCAAACAUCACAAUCAUGUUCAAAUCGCAAAGCAUUGAGACAGACAUUAAGUUGAAACCAAGGGAUUCAACAAGUGUUAGCAAAUGUGAUGUGACUUUAUCCAUGUGUUGAUCCCUUGAGAUUGCAACUCUACCUAGACCCAAUACCUUGCUUUUACCAGUGUUAGCAAAUGUGAUGUGACUUUUGUCUGAUGGACAUAAGGUUGAGUCCAUGAGAAGACUUCGCUUGCCAGUCAUAUGAUUAGUACACCCACUAUCAAUAAUCCAUUCUGAAGCAGCUGGUGUUGUACCCUAUAGUGCAGUUAGGGGGAUAGGCUUCAGGAAGAGAAUUGUGAAGCAUAAACAUUUGACGAGCAAGUGGAUUAUGAAAGCUUAGAUCGAGGUUAGGACUGAUAGGGCAAGUAGCAAGCGACUCAGGAACAAAAUACAUAAUAAGACCAUUUGGGCAUUUCAUCUUGCGCCCUACAAGAUGUUUAAGGUCCCCAGCAAUAGCUUCAGACGAAUUUGAUUGUUGGCUGGAGACCUUUCCCUGCAAAAGAGAGUUAAGCUUUCUUAGCCACCCACAUCUUCAAGGGUGGCUUCGAAGCAAUGAGUCUAAGUGCAGCAUCUGAGAAUUUUGGCUUUGGAGCCCUAGCAAAAAGUCUCGCAGGUGGACAAUAGUACUCAUAAGAAUAAGCAGAGUAGUUCUUGGUCUUAUGAGCAUGGCGGUUUGAUGAAACACGCUCAUAUUCAUAGGCCUAAGUAUGGCUUUCCUGCAAAACAUUUGCAUUAGUGCGACUCAGGUGAGUCCUUUGUCUGUAUGAAGCCUUUGGACCAUAUGAAGCCUGUGGUCUGGGGUUUGUCUUCUUCACUUGUGGUGUCAUGACGACAUUCACAGGAAGAUUCUCCAACAACCUUUUCGGCACCCAGACUUUCUUCAUAGGUGGCCCAUUCCUACAGUUAGUACCAAUAUACCUGGCAAACACUUCACCAUUCUGAUUCUUAAACAGUUUAUAGUUUGGAUCAAAUGAUUCAUCAAUAACAAUGGGAUUAGCACAAUUGAAGCCUGACAGAGUGGAUGGAUCCACUGAGGGUUCCUUUGCAGCAACCCAUGUGGUUUUGGCGUACUGCUCAGGUUUCCAGUAAGAGCCAUCAGCAUUCAUUUUCCUUUCGAACCCAAGACCCUCCUUUCUAGGGUUUCGGUUCAGGAUCUGCCUUUUGAGGACAUCACAUAGUGUCUGAUGCCCUUUGAGACUUUUGUACAUCCCUGUUUCAAGCAAUGUCUUCAACCUAGCAUUUUCAUCAGCAAUUGCAGUGGUAUCCUCAGCAGAGGGGUUAGUUACCACAUCAACAGUUGAAGAUAUUGCAAUAGUAGCAGCAGUAGAACAUCCAGGAAUAGAAGUAGUGUUGUCACGCUCAAUACAUUUAAGAGAUGGUGGUUCAAAUCCUUCCUAAGCGGGACUGAUCUGUUUGGCACGAAGUGACUCAUUUUCCUUUUGAAGAUCUUCAUGAGCCGCUCUCAAUUUCUCAAGUUCUUGCUUCCUUUGAAGAUAAUCAUAGGAAAGCUUUUCAUGAGUUGUUGAGAGCGAUUCAUGACGACUUUCAAGUUCCUCAUACUUAACAUGAAGAUUUUUUAUGUCUUCAAUUAAGGACUGAGAUCGAGUCAUUUCAGCGUCUAAUAGGUCAUCGCUUUUGUCUAAUAGUUUUAGAAUAUGUUCCAUAGCUUUCUGUUGUCCAGUUGCAAUUUUAGCAAGUGUUUUGUAGCUGGGUUUGGAAACACAAUCAGAGUCAUCUUCACUGGAUGUUUGAUAGUGAGUAGUGCAUGUGUUUACCUUGGCACCACGUGCCAUGAAGCAGUAGGUGGGAGCGGAGUAGUCCUUGUCAUUUGCAUCAGUGUCGGUGAUGAAGUCAUUGUCUUCAGUGUUGAAGAUGGACUUGGCAACGUAUGCUGUAGCCAGGCUCGCAACGCCAGAAUCAGACUCCUCCUCAGAUUCCACCUCCGCCUCCUCAGAAGCGGACUCCUCCUCUGAAUCCAUUUCCUUGCCAACAAAUGUACGAGCCUUGCCAGAUGAGCUCUUCUUGUGUGAUGAAGACUUUUAGGAAGACUUGGAAGAAGACUUUGAGUAUUUCUUCUUCUUGUCGUCAGAAUCAUACUCCUUUCUCUUCUUUUUCUUCUUGUUCUCAUUGUCCCACUACGGACACUCAGAGAUGUAGUGGCCAGGUUUCUUGCACUUGUGGCAUGUUCUCUUCUUAUAAUCAUGAGCAGAAGCUUCAUCAUUCCUUGAGCUUGAUCGUGAAGACUUUCUAAAGCCUUUCUUAUUGGUGAAUUUUUGGAACUUCUUCACAAGCAUAGCAAGCUCCUUUCGAAUGUCUUCAGGAUCAUCGGAACUACUGUCGGAUUCUUCUUCAGAUAAGGAGACAACUUUUGCCUUCAAGGCACGAGUUCGCCCAUAGUUGGGACCGUAGAUGUCUCUUUUCUCAGAAAGCUGAAACUCAUGUGUGUUGAGCCUCUCAAGUAUGUCAGACGGAUCGAGUGUCUUGAAGUCAGGACGGUCUUGAAUCAUCAGGGCUAGGGUGUCAAACAAGCUGUCAUGUGAUCUCAAGAGUGUCUUGAUGACUUCAUGCUUGGUGAUCUCAGUAGCGCCGAGGGCUUGAAGCUCAUUUGUGAUGUUAGUGAGUCGAUCAAACAUGAGCUGGACAUUCUCAUUGUCAUUUCUCUUAAAGCGGUUGAAGAGGUUGCGAAGGACACUGAUUCUCUGAUCUCUCUGGGUUGAGACGCCUUCGUUGACCUUGGAGAGCCAGUCCCAGACUAGCUUAGAUGUUUCCAAAGCAAUCACACGGCCAUACUGUCCUUUGGUCAGAUGACCACAGAUGAUGUUCUUGGCAGUGGAGUCCAGUUGAACGAACUUCUUGACAUCAGCAGUGGUGACACCUUCACCAGCCUUGGGAACGCCAUUCUUGAGGACAUACCAUAGGUCGACGUCAAUGGCUUCAAGGUGCAUGCGCAUCUUAUUCUUCCAGUAGGGAUAUUCAGUUCCAUCGAAGACUGGCACGCAACGGAGACUUUGAUUAUCCCUGCAGUCGACAUAGCUAAAACUCCAGGUGGUUAAACCAAAUCACACAGAACAAGGGAGUACCUUGCUCUGUUACCAAUUGAAAGUGCUAGUGAUCGACUAGGGGGGGUGAAUAGGCGAUUUUUAUGAAAGUCUUCAAAACAUGGAAGUUUUUAAGACAAACGAUAGAAAUAAACCUAUUAUCAUGCAGCGGAAGGUAGACUACCCUAAGCAAGCCAUAGUCAAGUAUUCAAUGAAGUGAAAGUACAACAACUAAUAGCAGCUAGGCAGUAUAGAUCAGGUUGGAAGAUAGUGUGAAGCCAAUCAGAACAAGCGGUCACUCAGUGAAGACAAAAGAUAAUGCAAUCAUACAAUGACUUCACUAGAGCCAACAGUAAGUAAAGGAAUGGGAAGGAUGAAACCAGUGACUCGUUGAAGACAAUGAUUUUUUGGACUAGUUCCAGUUGCUGUACAACUAUACGUCUGGUUAGGGAGGCUGAGAUUCAACUCAGAAGACCGUGUCUUCACCUUAUUCUCCUUGAGCUAAGGACACCAGUCCUCACCCAAUCACUCUGGUAAGUCUUCAAGGUAGACUUCCAAACCUUCACAGACUUCGUUCAUCGGCGAUCCACAAUGACUCUUGGAUGCUCAGAACGUGACGCCUAACCGGCUGGAGGAUUCACAGUCCUCAAGUGUAAUAAGUCUUCUGAUCACACAGAUAGGAAGACUUAAGUGGCCUAACACUCUUUGGCUCUGGGUGUUUAGGGCUUUAUCCUCGCAAGGAAUUCUCUCUCAAAGGCUUCGAGGUGGGUUGCUCUCAAACGGCAGAAGCCAUACACUAACUCUGAGCAGCCAACCGUUUAUGGUUGUAGGGGGUGGGCUAUUUAUAGCCAGUUGGCAACCCGACCUGAUUUGUCCGAAAUGACCCUGGGUCACUAAAGAACUGACACGUGUUCCAACGGUCAAAUUUCAAACACACAUGGCAACUUUGCUUGAGCUACAAGCAAAGCUGACUUACCCAGCUCUGGAUAAGAUUUGCUCUCAUUGUCUUCGCUCGAAGAUAUAUGAUUUUGGUUUAGCAUCACUUCAGUCAUUCUGACUGGUUCACUUGGACCCCACUUAACAGUACAGUGGUUCCUAUGACUCAACAAAGAAGAAAAGGAAUGACGAAUAAACUAAGUCUUCACACUCCAUAGUCUUCACUCGAUGUCUUAUCUUGUCAUAGUCUUCAAUGUGACUGUCUUCACAUACCACCUUUGACUUCAAUGUUUUUAUACAUUUUUAAGGGUCAUCUCUGGUAGGAAAAUUGAAUCAAUGAGGGACUUCUAGCUGUGUUAUCCUGCAAUUCUCACAAACACAUUAGUCCCUCUACCAGGUUUGUCGUCAAUACUCCAAAACCCAGUAGGGGUGGCACUAGAUGCACUUACAUGCUUGUUAUGUUCUUGGACUGUAGCAUCAUUGUUUCAUGCCUCCAGCAUGUCAAUGUGUUAUUCCUGCUCACAUGUAUGCCAUGUUUUUCACUAAGUCAUAAUCUGUGUUAUAAAGUUUCCUUUUGCUUUGCUCAUGUUGGAUUAAUCUUCAUGCCUAUGAACCUGAACCCUAAUGAUAAUUGAAGUAUGUAAUCUAUACCUUAAGUGCAUAUCAUGUUUGUGCCUAUCUUGUUCUUGUAGCAUGUUGUUAUGAUGCUUGUAAGAUGCCUAGUUGCUGUUUUGGACAGCUUGUCCUCUAACCUUGUUUCGUGUGUAUGUGUUGAACCGUGGCUCCGAUUGGAGCAUGCUCUAUAUGAAACUUAGUUGGUUUUGCAUGUAGUUUCAUCAUGCCAUGUUGCUUCCAUGUUUUGGAGUGUUUGUGAUUGUCUUUUGCUUGCAUUUGCAUCAAUGUCAUGUUGACUUGUUUUGCGCAUAUCUUCUAGGCCGUAGCCCCGAAUUAAGUGAACAUUAUAUGUAACUUGAUUAGAAUAGCAUGUAGACCAUCAUGGUGCAUAUUAACUUGCUUUUUAACAACUUCAACAUAUUGUGGUAUUCAGAUCUGAACCAAUUUUGAAAUUUGCAUACGAGGACUUACCGAAAUUGUUAUGUGUUGUUUCCGGUCUCAUUUAAACUUGCUUUGAUGUGUUGUUUUUGUAUGCAUCCUCUCUAUCUGGAAUUGUUAUGUGAUAUUCAGGGAUGUGCACACGGUUAUGUGGCAGAUGGAAAUUUUUUAAUAUCUAGUUGUAGUGGACUUUAACUAAUCUCAAUUAAAAUACAUCAACCGCGUGCGUAACCGUGACGGUCUCUUUUCGAGUGCGUUGAGAAGAGAACACGAUGGAGUUAUAUUUGAAUGUAAGUAGUUCAGGAUCACUUAUUGAUCAUUACUAGUUGUGACCAUCUGCGUAGUUUCUCAUCUUGCUCUUGUACUCAUAAGUUAGCCACCAUAUAAUGCUUAGUCGCUUGCUGCAACCUCACCACUUAUCUAUUCCAUACCCAUUAAGCUUUGCUUAUCAUGAUACCCAUGGUAAUGGGAUUGCUGAGUCCUCGUGGCUCACAGAUUACUUCAACAACAGUUGCAGGUACAGGUAACGUGAUGAUCAUGACGUGAGAGCGAUGUUUAUUUGUUUUGGAGUUCUUGUUCUACUUCUUCUUGGAUCACGGGAUAGGUUCCUGGUCGGCAGCCUGGGCUAGCAGGGUGGAUGUCGUUUGGGUUUCUGUUUGUUUUUCAUUCAUAGUCGGAUGUUGUUCUCAUGUAUGAUGUUUGAUGUAUUUUUGUGGAUUUGUAUGCCUUGUAUGUAUCCCCAACUAUUAUCUAAUGGUGCCAUGUAAUGAUAUGCACCUUGCAAAAGCGUUUCAAUAUGCAGAUCUAUCCUUGGUGGGACCUUCGAGUUCCUCUCGGAUAGGAUCGCAUAUUGCGCAUGACAGAAAUGUUCAUCCAGAGCCAACCAACUGGCUCGACUCACCACGUCUCGACUCAUUAUUCAUACUGCGCGCACGGUAGCAACAGUCGUUGUUCAUCGAGAGGCAACCCAACAUUGGCUGGCUACGUAUCGCAUGGGGGAUGGAUCGGCUACAGUAAGCAGCAAUAGUGAUCGAUCACUUGGGUUCAGUUAGCAGCAGCAGCCAAGGAAUCGCUCGGGUUCAGUCAACAGCGAAUGAAUCGCUCAAGUUCAGUUAACAGCAAAGCGAUCGAUCGCUCGGGUUCAGUAACAUGCGACCGCUCGGGUUCAGUUAGCCAACACCUCGCACAUACGUGCAUACACGAGAGAAAUGUGGAUACCUCCAUGCAUUGCUUCGCCCCGACCACCCACUGUAACCGGAAACUCCCUGAUAUUUUCCUCGCCCUUGCUUCUGCCAUGGUUUUUUCCGUCAUGGACGACCCAAAUAAUGUCAUGCAACUGUGUCUCUAGCCCGCCCAGGACGAAAAGCCCAUUUUCUGUCAUAGAAGUAGGAUCCCACUGAAGGAAAUAUGCCCUAGAGGCAAUAAUACAGUUAUUAUUUAUUUCCUUAUUUCAUGAUAAAUAUUUAUUAUUCAUCCUAGAAUUGUAUUAACCGGGAACAUAAUACAUGUGUGAAUACAUAGACAAACAAAGUGUCACUAGUAUACCUCUACUUGACUAGCUCGUUGAUCAAACAUGGUUAUGUGUCCUAAACCAUAGACAUGAGUUGUCAUUUGAUAAACGGGAUCACAUCAUUAGGAUAAUGAUGUGAUUGACUUGACCCAUUCCGUUAGCUUAGCACUUGAUCGUUUUAGUUUACUGGUAUUGCUUUCUUCAUGACUCUUAUACAUGUUCCUAUGACUAUGAGAUUAUGCAACUCACGAUUACCGGAGGAACACUUUGUGUGCUACCAAAUGUCACAACGUAACUAGGUGAUUAUAAAGGUGCUCUACAGGUGUCUCCGAUGGUACUUGUUGAGUUGGCAUAGAUCGAGAUUAGGAUUUGUCACUCUGAUUGUCGGAGAGGUAUCUCUGGGCCCUCUCGGUAAUGCACAUCACUAUAAGCCUUGUAAGCAAAGCAACUAAUGGGUUAGUUGCGGGAUAGUGCAUUACGGUACGAGUAAAGAGACUUGCCAGUAACAAGAUUGAACUAGGUAUUGAGAUACCGAUGAUCGAAUCUCGGGCAAGUAACAUACCAAUGACAAAGGGAACAACGUAUGUUGUUAUGCGGUUUGACCGAUAAAGAUCUUCGUAGAAUAUGUAGGAGCCAAUAUGAACAUCUAGGUUCCGCUAUUGGUUAUUGACCGGAAACGUGUCUCGGUCAUGUCUACAUAGUUCUCGAACCCGUAGGAUCCGCACGCUUAACGUUUGGUGACGAUCGGUAUUAUGAGUUUAUGUGAUUUGAUGUACUGAAGGUAGUUCGGAGUCUCGGAUGAGAACAGGGACAUGACGAGGAGUUUUGAAAUGGUCGAGACGUAAAGAUCGAUAUAUUGGACGACUAUACUCGGACAUCGGAAAGGUUCCGAGUGAUUCGGGUAUUUUUCGGAGUAUCGGGGAGUUAUGGGAAUACGGGAAGAAGUAUUGGGCCUCAUGGGCCAAGUGGUGGAAGAGAGGAGGCAAGGCACGCAGCCCCCUAGCCCAAACCGAGUUGGACUAGGGGGCCGGCCACCCUUUCCUCCUUUCCUCCCUCUCCUUCCUUCUCCCCUUCCCCCUUCCUUUCCUGCUUCUAGUAGGAGUACGAAAAGGGGAGUCCUACUCCUUCUAGGGGGAGGAUUCCUCCUCCUGGCGCGCCCUAGGAGGGCCUGCCGGCCUCCCCCUUUCUCCUUUAUAUACGGGGGCAGAGGGGCACCCGAGGACACAGAAGUUGAUCAUUGAUCCCUUAGCCGCUGUGCUGAUGGAACUCUCCCAUGAAGCUCUGUUGGAUCGGAGUUCGUGGGACGUCAUCGAGCUGAACGUGUGCUGAAGUCGGAGGUGCCGUGCGUUCGGUACUUGGAUCGGUCGGAUGAUGAAGACGUACAACUACAUCAACCACAUUCUCACAUCACUUCCGCUUACGGUCUACGAGGGUAUGUAGAAGAUACUCUUCCCUCUCGUUGCUAUGCAUCACCAUGAUCUUGCGUGUGCGUAGGAAAUUUUGAAAUUACUAUGUUCCCCAACAGUGGCAUUCGAGACAGGUUUAUGCGUAGUUGUUAUAUGCACGAGUAGAACACAAAGGAGUUGUGGGCGUGGGUAUAUAUAUAUUGCUUGCCGUCACUAGUUGUAUCUGAAUUCAGAGGCAUUGCUGGAUGAAGCGGCCCAAACAAACAUUACGCGUACGCUUACACUAGACUGGUUCUGCCGACGUGACUCGUGUUGGGGAACGUUGCAGAAAAUUAAAAUUUUUCCUACGGUUUCACCAAGAUCGAUCCAUGAGUUCAUCUAAUCAACGAGUCAAGGGGAAGAGUUUGCAUCUACAUACCACUUGUAGAUCGAGUGCGGAAGCGUUCAAGGGGAUGGUGAUGGUGGAGUCGUACUCGUCGUGAUUCGGAUCACCGAUGACCAAGUGCUGAAUGGACAGCACCUCCGCGUUCAACACACGUACGGGACGGAAGACGUCUCCUCCGUCUCGAUCCAGCAAGGAGGAAGGAGAGGUUGAGGAAGGCAGCUCCAACGUCAGCACGACGGCGUGGUGUAGUUGGUGCAGCAGUACUCCGACAGAGCUUCGCCAAGCACGUACGGAGGAGGAGAGGUGUUGGGGAGGGGAGGGGCUGCGCCUUGGCUUGUAGUACCGCAGCCCUCCCCUCACCCCUCUAUAUAUAGGAGGAGAGGGGCAAGGGGGCCGGCCCUCUAGGGGAAACCCUAGAGGGGGCCGGCGGCCAAAGGGUGGGGGGCUUGCCCCCCAAGCAAGGGGGGUGCGCCCCCUUUAGGGUUUCCCCUCCCCUUGCCCUAGCCGCAUGGGCCUAGGUGGGGAGGCGCGCCCAGCCCACUAGGGGCUGGCUCCCUCUCCCACACAGCCCAUGUGGCCCCCCCGGGAGGGGUGGCCCCACCCGGUGGACCCCUGGAACCCUUCCGGUGGCCCCGGUACAAUACCGGUAUGCCACCGAAACUUUCCGGUGUCCGUUUAACCACUUUCCAUAUAUAAAUCUUUACCUCCGGACCAUUCCGGAACUCCUCAUGACAUCCGGGAUCUCAUCCGGGACUCCGAACAACAUUCGGUAGUCACAUACAAGUCUUUCUAAUAACCCUAGCAUCACCGAACCUUAAGUGUGUAGACACUAUGGGUUCGGGAGACAUGCAGACAUGACCGAGACUCUCCGGUCAAUAACCAACAGCGGGAUCUGGCUACCCAUGUUGGCUCCCACAUGCUCCUCGAUGAUGUCAUCAGAUAAACCAUGAUGUCGAGGAUUCUAUCAAACCCCGUAUACAAUUCCCUUUGUCAAUCGGUAUGUUACAUGCCCGAGACUCGAUCGUCGGUAUCCCAAUACCUCGUUCAGUCUCGUUACCGGCAAGUCACUUUACUCGUACCGCAAUGCAUGAUCCUGUGAUCAAACACUUGAUCACCUUGAGCUCAUUACGAUGAUGCAUUACCGAGUGGGCCCAGAGAUACCUCUCCGUCAUACGGAGUGACAAAUCCCAGUCUCGAUCCGUGUCAACCCAACAGACACUUUCGGAGAUAGCUGUAAUGCACCUUUAUAGUCACCCAGUUACGUUGUGACGUUUGAUACACCCAAAGCACUCCUACGGUAUCCGGGAGUUACACGAUCUCAUGGUCGAAGGAAGAGAUACUUGACAUUGAAAAGCUCUAGCAAACGAACUAACCGACCUUUGUGCUAUGCUUAGGAUUGGGUCUUGUCCAUCACAUCAUUCUCCUAAUGAUGUGAUCCCGUUAUCAACGACAUCCAAUGUCCAUAGCCAGGAAACCAUGACUAUCUGUUGAUCACAACGAGCUAGUCAACUAGAGGCUCACUAGGGACAUAUUGAGGUCUAUGUAUUCACACGUGUAUUAUGAUUUCCGGAUAAUACAGUUAUAGCAUGAAUAAAAGACAAUUAUCAUGAACAAUGAAAUAUAAUAAUACUUUUAUUAUUGCCUCUAGGGCAUAUUUCCAACAGUCUCCCACUUGCACUAGAGUCACCAAUCUAGUUACAUUGUGAUGAAUCGAACACCCAUAGAGUUCUGGUGUUGAUCAUGUUUUGCUCGCGAGAGAGGUUUAGUCAACGGAUCUGCGACAUUCAGAUCCGUAUGUACUUUGCAAAUUUCUAUGUCUCCAUCUUGAACAUUUUCACGGAUGGAGUUGAAACGACGCUUGAUGUGCCUGGUCUUCUUGUGAAACCUGGGCUCCUUGGCAAGGGCAAUAGCUCCAGUGUUGUCACAGAAGAGUUUGAUUGGCCCCGACGCAUUGGGUAUGACUCCUAGGUCGGUGAUGAACUCCUUCACCCAAAUCGCUUCAUGCGCUGCCUCCGAGGCUGCCAUGUACUCUGCUUCACACGUAGAUCCCGCCACGACGCUCUGCUUGCAGCUGCACCAGCUUACUGCUCCACCAUUCAACAUAUACACGUAUCCGGUUUGUGACUUAGAGUCAUCCGGAUCAGAGUCGAAGCUAGCGUCGACGUAACCCUUUACGACGAGCUCUUCGUCUCCUCCAUAAACGAGAAACAUGUCCUUUGUCCUUUUCAGGUACUUCAGGAUAUUCUUGACCGCUGUCCAGUGUUCCUUGCCGGGAUUACCUUGGUAUCUUGCUACCAAACUUACGGCAAGGUUUACAUCAAGUCUGGUACACAGCAUGGCAUACAUAAUAGAUCCUAUGGCUGAAGCAUAGGGGAUGACACUCAUCUCUUCUAUAUCUUUUGCCGUGGUCGGUGACUGAGCCGAGCUCAAUCUCACACCUUGUAACAUAGGCAAGAACCCUUUCUUGGACUGAUCCAUUUUGAACCUUUUCAAAAUCUUAUCAAGGUAUGUGCUUUGGGAAAGACCUAUGAGGCGUCUCGAUCUAUCUCUAUCGAUCUUGAUGCCUAAUAUAUAAGCAGCUUCUCCAAGGUCCUUCAUUGAAAAACACUUAUUCAAGUAGGCCUUAAUGAUGUCCAAGAAUUCUAUAUCAUUUCCCAUCAGGAGUAUGUCAUCUACAUAUAAUAUGAGAAAUGCUACAGAGCUCCCACUCACUUUCUUGUAAACGCAGGCUUCUCCAUAAGUCUGCAUAAACCCAAAUGCUUUGAUCAUCUCAUCAAAGCGAAUGUUCCAACUCCGAGAUGCUUGCACCAGCCCAUAAAUGGAUCGCUGGAGCUUGCAUACUUUGUUAGCGUUCUUAGGAUCGAAAAAACCUUCCGGCUGCAUCAUAUACAGCUCUUCCUUAAGAUGCCCGUUAAGGGAUGCCGUUUUGACGUCCAUCUACCAUAUCUCAUAAUCAUAGUAUGCGGCAAUUGCUAACAUGAUUCGGACGGACUUAAGCUUCGCUACGGGAGAGAAAGUCUCAUCGUAGUCAAUCCCUUGAACUUGCCUAUAACCCUUAGCGACAAGUCGAGCUUUAUAGAUGGUGACAUUACCAUCCGUGUCCGUCUUCUUCUUAAAGAUCCAUUUGUUUUCUAUCGCUCGCCGAUCAUCGGGCAAGUCAGUCAAAGUCCAUACUUUGUUUUCAUACAUGGAUUCUAUCUCGGAUUUCAUGGCUUCUAGCCAUUUGUUGGAAUCUGGGCCCGCCAUCGCUUCUUCAUAGUUCGAAGGUUCACCGUUGUCUAACAACAUGAUUUCUAGGACAGGGUUGCCAUACCACUCUGGUGCGGAACGUGUCCUUGUGGACCUACGAAGUUCAGUAGCAACUUGAUCCGAAGUACCUUGAUCAUCAUCAUUGGUUUCCUCUUCAGUUGGUGUGGGCAUCACAGGAACAUUUUCUUGAGCUGCACCACUUUCCUGUUCAAGAGGUAGUACUUCAUCGAGUUCUACUUUCCUCCCACUUACUUCUUUCGAGAGAAACUCUUUUUCCAGAAAGGAUCCGUUCUUGGCGACAAAGGUCUUGCCCUCGGAUCUUAAGUAGAAGGUAUACCCAAUGGUUUCCUUAGGGUAUCCUAUGAAGACGCAUUUUUCCGACUUGGGUUCGAGCUUUUCAGGUUGAAGCAUCUCAUCCCCAAACUUUCAGAAAUGACAGCUUAGGUUUCUUCCCAAACCAUAAUUCAUACGGUGUCAUCUCAACGGAUUUAGACGGUGCCCUAUUUAAAGUGAAUGUAGCUGUCUCUAGAGCGUAUCCCCAAAAUGAUAGCGGUAAAUUGGUAAGGGACAUCAUAGACCGCACCAUAUCCAAUAGAGUGCGAUUACGACGUUCGGACACACCGUUACGCUGAGGUGUUCCAGGCGGCGUGAGUUGUGAAACGAUUCCACAUUUCCUUAAGUGUGUACCAAAUUCGUGACUUAAGUAUUCUCCUCCACGAUCUGAUCGUAAGAAUUUUAUCUUUCGGUCAUGUUGAUUCUCUACUUCAUUCUGAAAUUCCUUGAACUUUUCAAAGGUCUCAGACUUGUGUUUCAUCAAGUAGACAUACCCAUAUCUACUCAAGUCAUCUAUGAGAGUGAGAACAUAACGAUAUCCUCUGCGAGCCUUAACACUCAUUGGACCACACACAUCGGUAUGUAUGAUUUCCAACAAGUUGGUUGCUUGCUCCAUUGUUCCGGAGAACGGAGUCUUGGUCAUCUUGCCCAUGAGGCAGGGUUCGCAUGUGUCAAAUGAUUCAUAAUCAAGAGACUCUAAAAGUCCAUCAGCAUGGAGCUUCUUCAUGCGCUUGACACCAAUGUGACCAAGGCGGCAGUGCCACAAGUAUGUGGGACUAUCAUUAUCAACUUUACAUCUUUUGGUAUUCACGCUAUGAAUAUGUGUAGUAUUACGCUCGAGAUUCAUUAAGAAUAAACCAUUGACCAUCGCAGCAUGACCAUAAAACAUAUCUCUCAUAUAAAUUGAACAACCAUUAUUCUCAGACUUAAAUGAGUAGCCAUCUCGUAUUAAACGAGAUCCAGAUACAAUGUUCAUGCUCAAACUUGGCACUAAAUAACAAUUAUUAAGGUUCAAAACUAAUCCAGUGGGUAAAUGUAGAGGUAGCGUGCCGACGGCGAUCACAUCGACUCUGGAACCAUUUACGACACGCAUCGUCACCUCGUCCUUCGCCAGUCUCCGCUUAUUCCGCAGCCCCUGCUGUGAGUUACAAAUAUGAGCAACGGCACCGGUAUCAAAUACCCAGGAGUUACUACGAGUACUGGUAAGGUACACAUCAAUUACAUGUAUAUCGAAUAUACCUUUAGUGUUGCCGGCCUUCUUAUCCGCUAAGUAUUUGGGGCAGUUCCGCUUCUAGUGACCCUUCCCCUUGCAAUAAAAGCACUCAGUCUCAGGCUUGGGUCCAUUCUUUGACUUCUUCUCGGCAACUGGCUUACCGGGCGUGGCAACCUCUUUGCCGUCCUUCUUGAAGUUUUUCUUACCCUUGCCCUUCUUGAACUUAGUGGUCUUAUUGACCAUCAACACUUGAUGUUCUUUCUUGAUUUCAACCUCUGCUGACUUUAGCAUAGAAAAUACUUCAGGAAUGGUCUUUACCAUCCCCUGCAUAUUGUAGUUCAUCACAAAGCUCUUGUAGCUUGGUGGGAGCGACUGAAGGAUUCUGUCAAUGACUGCCUCAUCAGGGAGGUUAAUAUUCAGCUGGGUCAUACGGUUGUGCAACCCAGACAUCUUGAGUAUGUGCUCACUGACAGUCCUCCAUCUUACAACUAUAGAAUUUGUCGGAGAUGUCAUAUCUAUCGACCCGGGCGUGAGCUUGGAAAACUAGUUUCAGUUCCUCAAACAUCUCAUAUGCUCCAUGAUGCUCAAAACGCUUUUGGAGCCCCGGUUCUAAGCUGUAAAGCAUGCCGCACUGAACGAGGGAGUAAUCAUCAGCACGAGACUGCGAAGCAUUCAUAAUGUCUUGGUUCUCUGGGACGGGAGCGUCACCUAGCGGUCCUUCUAGGACAUAUUGUUUCCUGGCAGCUAUGAGGAUGAUCCUCAGGUUCCGGACCCAGUCCGUAUAGUUGCUGCCAUCAUCUUUCAGCUUGGUUUUCUCUAGGAACGCGUUGAAGUUCAUGUUGACAUGAGCGUUGGCCAUUUGAUCUACAAGACAUAUUUGCAAAGGUUUUAGACUAAGUUCAUGAUAAUUAAGUUCUAAUCAAAUUAUGAACUCCCACUCAGAUUAGACAUCCCUCUAGUCAUCUAAGUGUUACACGAUCCGAGUCGACUAGCCCGUGUCCGAUCAUCACGUGAGACGGACUAAUCAUCAUCGGUGAACAUUCUCAUGUUGAUCGUAUCUUCCAUACGACUCGUGUUCGACCUUUCGGUCUCCGUGUUCCGAGGCCAUGUCUGUACAUGCUAGGCUCGUCAAGUUAACCCUAAGUGUUUUUGCUGUGUAAAACUGUCUUACACCCGUUGUAUGUGAAUGUAAGAAUCCAUCACACCCGAUCAUCACGUGGUGCUUAGAAGCGACGAACUUUAGCAACGGUGCACAGUUUGGGGAGAACACUUCUUGAAAUUGUUGUAAGGGAUCAUCUUAUUUACUACCGUCGUCCGAAGUAAACAAGAUGCAUAAAACAUAAUAAACAUCACAUGCAAUUAUAUAAAGUAGUGACAUGAUAUGGCCAAUAUCAUAUAGCUCCUUUGAUCUUCAUCUUCGGGGCUCCAUGAUCAUCUUGUCACUGGCAUGACACCAUGAUCUCCAUCAUCAUGAUCUCCAUCAUCGUGUCUUCAUGAAGUUGUCACGCCAACGACUACUUCUACUUCUAUGACUAACGCGUUUAGCAAUAAAGUAAAGUAAGUUACAUGGCGUUCUUCAAUGACACGCAGGUCAUACAAAAAAUAAAGACAACUCCUAUGGCUCCUGCCGGUUGUCAUACUCAUCGACAUGCAAGUCGUGAAUCCUAUUACAAAGAACAUGAUCUCAUACAUCACAAUUCAUCAUUCAUCGCAACUUCUGGCCAUAUCACAUCACAUGAUCAAUCGCUGCAAAAACAAGUUAGACGUCCUCUAAUUGUCGUUGCAUCUUUUACGUGGCUGCAAUUGGGUUCUAGCAAGAACGUUUUCUUACCUACGAAUAACCACAACGUGAUUUUGUCAACUUCUAUUUACCCUUCAUAAGGACCCUUUUCAUCGAAUCCACUUCAACUAAAGUGGGAGAGACAGACACCCGCCAGCCACCUUAUGCAACUAGUGCAUGUCAAUCGGUGGAACCGGUCUCACGUAAGUGUACGUGUAAGGUUGGUCCGGGCCGCUUCAUCCCACAAUGUCGUUGAAGCAAGAAAAGACUAGUAGUGGCAAGUAAGUUGACAAGAUCCACGCCCACAACAAAAUUGUGUUCUACUCGUGCAAAGAGAACUACGCAUAGACCUAGCUCAUGAUGCCACUGUUGGGGAACGUUGCAGAAAAUUAAAAUUUUUCCCACGGUUUCAGCAAGAUCCAUCUAUGAGUUCAUCUAAGCAACGAGUCAAGGGGAAGAGUUUGCAUCUACAUACCACUUGUAGAUUGAGUGCGGAAGCGUUCAAGGGGAUGGUGAUGAUGGAGUCGUACUCGUCGUGAUUCGGAUCACCGAUGACCAAGUGCUGAACGGGCAGCACCUCCGCGUUCAACACACGUACGGGGCGGACGACGUCUCCUCCUUCUUGAUCCAGCAAGGAGGGAGGAGAGGUUGAGGAAGGCAGCUCCAACGGCAGCACGACGGCAUGGUGUAGUUGGUGCAGCAGUACUCCGACAGAGCUUCGCCAAGCACGUAUGGAGGAGGAGAGGUGUUGGGGAGGGGAGGGGCUGCGCCUUGGCUUGUAGUACCGCAGCCCUCCCCUCACCCCUCUAUAUAUAGGAGGAGAGGGGCAAGGGGGCCGGCCCUCUAGGGGAAACCCUAGAGGGGGGCGGCGGCCAAAGGGUGGGGGGCUUGCCCCCAAGCAAGGGGGGUGCGCCCCCUUUAGGGUUUCCCCUCCCCUUGCCCUAGCCGCAUGGGCCUAGGUGGGGAGGCGCGCCCAGCCCACUAGGGGCUGGCUCCCUCUCCCACACAGCCCAUGUGGCCCCCCCGGGAGGGGUGGCCCCACCCUAUGGACCCCCGGAACCCUUCCGGUGGCCCCAGUACAAUACCGGUAUGCCACCGAAAUUUUCCGUUGUCCAUUUAACCACUUUCCAUAUAUAAAUCUUUACCUCCGGACCAUUCCGGAACUCCUCGUGACGUCCGGGAUCUCAUCCGGGACUCCGAACAACAUUCGGUAAUCACAUACAAGUCUUCCUAAUAACCCUAGCGUCACCGAACCUUAAGUGUGUAGACCCUACGGGUUCGGGAGACAUGGAGACAUGACCGAGACUCUCCGGUCAAUAACCAACAGCGGGAUCUGGAUACCCAUGUUGGCUCCCACAUGCUCCUCGAUGAUGUCAUCGGAUGAACCACAAUGUCGAGGAUUCGAUCAAACCCCGUAUACAAUUCCCUUUGUCAAUCGGUACGUUACAUGCCCGAGACUCGAUCGUCGGUAUCCCAAUACCUCGUUCAGUCUCGUUACCGGCAAGUCACUUUACUCGUACCGCAAUGCAUGAUCCUGUGAUCAAACACUUGAUCACCUUGAGCUCAUUAUGAUGAUGCAUUACCGAGUGGGCCCAGAGAUACCUCUCCGUCAUACGGAGUGACAAAUCCCAGUCUCGAUCCGUGUCAACCCAACAGACACUUUCGGAGAUACCUGUAAUGCACCUUUAUAGUCACCCAGUUACGUUGUGACGUUUGAUACACCCAAAGCACUCCUACGGUAUCCGGGAGUUACACGAUCUCAUGGUCGAAGGAAGAGAUACUUGACAUUGAAAAGCUCUAGCAAAUGAACUAACCGACCUUUGUGCUAUGCUUAGGAUUGGGUCUUGUCCAUCACAUCAUUCUCCUAAUGGUGUGAUCCCGUUAUCAACGACAUCCAAUGUCCAUAGCCAGGAAACCAUGACUAUCUGUUGAUCACAACGAGCUAGUCAACUAGAGGCUCACUAGGGACAUAUUGAGGUCUAUGUAUUCACACGUGUAUUAUGAUUUCCGGAUAAUACAGUUAUAGCAUGAAUAAAAGACAAUUAUCAUGAACAAUGAAAUAUAAUAAUACUUUUAUUAUUGCCUCUAGGGCAUAUUUCCAACAAUUCGCACACCGAUGGCUAGUGGGUGUCUGUUUCUCCAGCUUUAGUGGAAUCGGAUUCAAUGAACAGGUUUCUUUCUGAAGAUAAAAAAGCAAUCACUAUACCGUGUUGUGGUUUUUGAUAGGUAGGUUAGAACGGUUCUUGCUCAGCCUGUUGCAGCCACGUAAAACUUGCAACAACGAAGUAGAGGACGUCUAACUUGUUUUUGCAGGGCAUGUUGUGAUGUGAUAUGGUCAAGACGUGAUGAGAUAUAAAUUUUUGUAUCAUAUGAUCAUGUUUUGUUAAAGUUAUCGGCAACUGGCAGAAGCCUAGUACUUGUCUCUUUAUUGCAUAAGAUGCGAGUGGCAUGUAAAUUGCUUUACUUUAUCGCUAUGCGAUAGCAAUAGUUGCAAAAGCAAUAGUUGGCAAGAUGAUCAUGUCACGACACAUUGAUAGAGAUCAAGAUGAUGGAUAUCAUGGUGUCAUGCCAGUGAUGAUGGAGAUCAUGACAAUACUUUGGAGAUGGAGAUCAAAGGCGCAAGAUGAUCAUGGCCAUAUCAUGUCACAUAUUUUGAUUGCAUGUGAUGUUAUCCUUUAUGCAUCUUAUUCUGCUUUGUUUGACAGUAGCAAUAUAAGAUGAUCCCUCACUAAAUUUCAAGGUAAAAGUGUUCUCCCUGAGUAUGCACCAUUGCCAAAGUUCGUCGUGCCGAGACACCACGUGAUGAUCGGGUGUGAUAAGCUCAAAGUUCAUCUACAACGGGUGUAAGACCGUUUUACACAUGCAGAAUACUCGGGUUAAACUUGACGAGCCUAGCAUAUGUAGAUAUGGCCUCGGAACACUGGAGACCGAAAGUUCGAGCAUGAAUCAUAUAGUAGAUAUGAUCAACAUAGUGAUGUUCACCAUUGAAAACUACUCCAUCUCACGUGAUGGCCGGACAUGGUUUAGUUGAUUUGGAUCAUGUGAUCAUUUAGAUGACUAGAGGGAAGUCUAUCUAAGUGGGAGUUCUUAAGUAAUAUGAUUAAUUGAACUUUAAUUUAUGAUGAACGUAGCUCCCCGUUUAUUUUGAUAUGUUCCUAGAGAAAAACUAAGUUGAAAGAUGUUAGUAGCAAUGAUGCAGAUUGGAUCCGUGAUCUGAGGAUUCUCCUCAUUGCCGCACAGAAGAAUUAUGUCCUUGAUGCACCGCUAGGUGACAGACCGAUUGUAGGAGCAGAUGCAGACGUUAUGAACGUUUGGCGGGCUCGAUAUGAUGACUACUUGAUACUUUAGUGCACCAUGCUUUACGGCUUAGAAUCGGGGCUUCAAAGACGUUUUGAAGGCCAUGGAACAUAUAAGAUGGUCUAAGAGUUAAAAUUGGUAUUUCAUACUCAUGCCCGUGUCGAGAGGUAUGAGACCUCUGACAAGCACUUUGCCUAUAAGAUGGAGGAGAAUAGUUCAGCUAGUGAGCAUGUGCUCAGAAUGUCUGAGUACUACUAUCACUUGAAUCAAGUGGGAGUUAAUCUUCCAGAUAAGAUAGUGAUUGACAGAGUUCUCUAGUCACUAUCACCAAGUUACUAGAACUUCGUGAUGAACUAUAAUAUGCAAGGGAUAACAGAAACAAUUUCCAAGCUCUUUGUGAUGCUGAAAUCGACGAAGGUAGAAAUCAAGAAAAGCAUCAAGUGUUGAUGGUUGACAAGACCACUAGUUUCAAGAAAAGGGCAAAGGGAAGAAGGGGAAAUUCAAGAAGAACGACAAGCAAGUUGUUGCUCAAGUGAAGAAGCCCAAGUCUAGACCUAAGCCUGAGACUAAGUGCUUCUACUGCAAAGGGACUGGUCACUGGAAGCAGAACUGCCCCAAGUAUUUGGCAGAUAAGAAGGAUGGCAAAGUGAACAAAGGUAUAUUUGACAUGCAUGUUAUUGAUGUGUACUUUACUAGUGUUUAUAGAAACCCCUCAGUAUUUGAUACUAGUUCAAUUUCGGAGAUUAGUAACUCAAAACGGGAGUUGCAGAAUGAACAGAGACUAGUCAAGGGUGAAGUGACGAUGUGUGUUGGAAGUGGUUCCAAGAUUGAUAUGAUAAUCAUCGCACACUCUCUAUACUUUCAGGAUUAGUGUUGAACCUAAAUAAAUGUUAUUUACGUUAAGCAUGAAUAUGAUUUGAUCAUGUUUAUUGCAAUACGGUUAUUCAUUUAAAGUUAGAGAAUAAUUGUUGUUAUGUUUACAUGAAUAAAACCAUCAAAGAUCAUACACCCAAGGUGAAUGGUUUAUUGAAUCUCGAUCGUAGUGAUACACAUAUUCAUAAUAUUGAAGCCAAAAGAUGCAAAGUUAAUAAUGAUAGUGCAACUUAUUUGUGGCACCACCGUUUGGUUCAUAUUGUUGUAAAGUGCAUGAAGAAAAUCCAUGCUGAUGGGCUUUUGGAAUCACUUGAUUAUGAAUCAGUUGAUGCUUGCGGACCAUGCCUCAUGGGCAAGAUGACUAAGACUCCGUUCUCUGGAACAAUGGAGCAAGCAACAGACUUGUUGGAAAUAAUACAUACUGAUGUAUGCAGUCCGAUGAGUGUUGAGGCUUGCGGCGGGUAUCGUUAUUUUCUGAUCUUCAUAGAUGAUUUUAGUAGAUAUGGGUAUAUCUACUUGAUGAAACAUAAGUCUGAAACAUUUGAAAAGUUCAAAGAAUUUCAGAGUGAAGUGGAAAAUCAUCGUAACAAGAAAAUAAAGUUUCUACAAUCUGAUUGUAGAGGAGAAUAUUUGAGUUACGAGUUUGGUCUUCAUUUGAAACAAUCCGGAAUAGUUUUGCAACUCACGCCACCUAGAACACCACAGCAUAAUGGUGUGUCCGAACGUCAUAACCGUACUUUAUUAGAUAUGGUGCAAUCUAUGAUGUCUCUUAUCAAUUUACCACUGUCGUUUUGGGGUUAUGCAUUAGAGACAGCUACAUUCACGUUAAAUAGGGCACCGUCUAAAUCCAUUGAGACGACACCGUAUGAACUAUGGUUUGGCAAGAAACCUAAGCUAUCGUUUCUUAAAGUUUGAGGUUGCAAUGCUUAUGUGAAAAAGUUUCAACCUGAUAAGCUCAAACCCAAAUCGGAGAAGUGCGUCUUCAUAGGAUACCCAAAAGAAAAUGUUCGGUACACCUUCUAUCACAGAUCCGAAGGCAAGAUCUUUGUUGCUAAGAAUGGAUCCUUUCUAGAGAAGGAGUUUAUCUCGAAAGAAGUGAGUGGGAGGAAAGUAGAGCUUGAUGAGGUAAUUGUACCUACUCCCUUAUGGAAAGUAGUCCAUCACAGAAAUCUGUUCCUGUGACUCCUACACCAAUUAGUGAGGAAGCUAUUGAUGAUGAUCAUGUAACUUCAGAUCAAGUUACUACCGAACCUCGUAGGUGAACCAGAGUGAGAUGCGCACCAGAGUGGUACAGUAAUCCUGUUCCAGAGGUCAUGUUACUUGACCAUGACGAACCUACGAACUAUGAGGAAGCGAUGAUGAGCCCAAAUUCCGCGAUAUGGCUUGAGGCCGUGAAAUCUGAGAUGGGAUCCAUGUAUGAGAACAAAGUGUGGACUUUGGUUGACUUGCCCGAUGAUCGGCAAGCCAUAAAAAAAUAAAUGUAUCUUCAAGAGGAAGACGGACGCUGAUAGUAGUGUUACUAUAUACAAAGCUGGACUUUUCAAAAAAGGUUUUUGACAAAGUUCAAGGUGUUGACUACGAUGAGAUUUUCUCACUCGAAGCGAUGCUUAAGUCUGUCCGAAUCAUGUUAGCAAAUAGCCACAUUUUAUGAAAUCUGGCAAAUGGAUGUCAAAACUACAUUCCUUAAUGGAUUUAUUAAAGAAGAGUUGUAUAUGGUGCAACCCGAAGUUUUGUCGAUCCUAAAGGUGCUAACAAAAUGUGCAAGCUCCAACGAUCCAUCUAUGGACUGGUGCAAGCAUCUCGGAUUUGGAAUAUACGCUUUGAUGAGUUGAUCAAAGCAUAUAGUUUUAUACAGACUUGCGAUGAAGCCUGUAUUUACAAGAAAGUGAGUGGGAGCACUACAACAUUUCUGAUAAGUAUAUGUGAAUGAAAUUAAUUGGAAAUAAUGUAGAAUUUUUUGGAAGGCAUAGAGGAGUAUUCGAAAUGAGUUUUUCGAAGAAAGACCUCGAUGAAGCUGCUUACACAUUGAGCAUCAAGAUCUAUAGAGAUAGAUCAAGACGCUUGAUAUUUUUUUUCAAUGACUACAUACCUUGACAAGAUUUUGAAGUAGUUCAAAAUGGAAUAGUCAAAGAAGGAUUUCUUGCCUGUGUUGCAAGGUGUGAAGUUGAGUAAGACUCAAAGCCCGACCACGGUACAAGAUAGAGAGAGAAUGAAAGUCAUUCCCUAUGCCUCAGCCAUAGGUUCUAUAAAGUAUGCCAUGCUGUGUACCAGACCUAUUGUAUACCCUACACUGAGUUUGGCAAGGGAGUACAAUUGUGAUCUAGGAGUAGAUCACUAGACAGCGGUCAAAAUAAUCCUUAGUGGAAUAAGGAUAUGUUUCUCGAUUAUGGAGGUGACAAAAGGUUCGUCGUAAAGGGUUACGUCGAUGCAAGUGUUGACACUAAUCCAGAUGACUCUAAGUCUCAAUCUGGAUACAUAUUGAAAGUAGGAGCAAUUAGCUAGAGUAGCUACGUGCAGAGCAUUGUUGACAUAGAAAUUUGCAAAAUACAUACGGAUUUGAAUAUGGCAGACCCGUUGACUAAACUUCUAUCACAAACAAAACAUGAUCACACCUUAGUACUCUUCGGGUGUUAAUCACAUGGCGAUGUGACUAAGAUUACUGACUCUAGUAAACCCUUUGAGUGUUGGUCACAUGGCGAUGUGAACUAUGGGUGUUAAUCACAUGGUGAUGUGAACUAUUGGUGUUAAAUCACAUUGCAAUGUGAACUAGAUUAUUGACUCUAGUGCAAGUGGGAGACUGAAGGAAAUAUGCCCUAGAGGCAAUAAUAAAGUUAUUAUUUAUUUCCUUAUUUCAUGAUAAAUAUUUAUUAUUCAUGCUAGAAUUGUAUUAAACGGAAACAUAAUACAUGUGUGAAUACAUAAACAAACAAAGUGUCACUAGUAUGCCUCUACUUGACUAGCUCAUUGAUCAAAGAUGGUUAUGUUUCCUAAACCAUAGACAUGAGUUGUCAUUUGAUAAACGGGAUCACAUCGUUAGGAUAACAAUGUGAUUGACUUGACCCAUUCCGUUAGCUUAGCACUUGAUCAUUUUAGUUUACUGCUAUUGCUUUCUUCAUGACUUAUACAUGUUCUUAUGACUAUGAGAUUAUGCAACUCACGAUUACCAGAGGAACACUUUGUGUGCUACCAAACGUCACAAUGUAACUGUGUGAUUAUAAAGGUGCUCUAUAGGUGUCCUCGAUGGUACUUGUUGAGUUGGCAUAGAUCGAGAUUAUGAUUUGUCACUCCGAUUGUCGGAGAGGUAUCUCUGGGCCCUCUCGGUAAUGCACAUCACAAUAACCUUGCAAGCAAAGCAACUAAUGAGUUAGUUGCGGGAUAGUGCAUUACAUAACGAGUAAAGAGACUUUCCGUUAAUGAGAUUUAAUUAGGUAUUUAGAUACUGAUGAUCGAAUCUUGGGCAAGUAACAUGCUGAUGACAAAGGGAACAACAUAUGUUGUUAUGCGGUUUGACCGAUAAAGAUCUUCGUAGAAUAUGUAGGAGCCAAUAUGAACAUCUAGGUUCCGCUAUUGGUUAUUGAACAGAGACGUGUCUCGGUCAUGUCUACAUAGUUCUCGAACCCAUAGGGUCCGCACGCUUAACGUUUGACGAUUGGUAUUAUGAUUUUAUGUGAUUUGAUGUACCAAAAGUAAUUCGGAGUCUCGGAUGAGAUUGGGGACAUGACGAGGAGUCUCGAAAUAGUCGAGACGUAAAGAUCGAUAUAUUGGACGACUAUAUUCGGACAUCGGAAAGGUUCUGAGUGAUUCAGGUAUUUUUCGAAGUACCGUGGAGUUAUGGGAAUACGGGGAAGAAGUAUUGGGCCUCAUGGGCCAAGUGGUGGAAGAUAGGAGGCAAGGCGCACGCCCCUCUAGCCCAAGCCGAAUUGGACUAGGGGGCCGGCCCCCCUUUCCUCCUUUCCCCCCUCUCCUUCCCUCUCCCCUUCCCCCUUCCUUUCCUCCUUCUAGUAGGAGUAGGAAAGGGGAGUCCUACUCCUACUAGGAGGAGGACUCCUCCUCCUGGCGCACCCUAGGAGGGCCGGCCGGCCUCCCCCUUGCUCCUUUAUAUACGGGGGCAGAUGGGCACCCGAGGACACAGAAGUUGAUCAUUGAUCCCUUAGCCGUGUGUGGUGCCCCCCUCCACCAUAAUCCACCUCGAUCAUAUCGUAGCGGUGCUUAGGCGAAGCCCUGUGUCAGUAGCAACAUCAUCACCGUCAUGACGCCGUCGUGCUGACGGAACUCUCCCGUGAAGCUAUGUUGAAUCAGAAUUCGUGGAAUGUCAUCGAGUUGAACGUGUGCUGAACUCGGAGGUGCCGUGCGUUAGGUACUUGGAUUGGUCGGAUCAUGAAGACGUAUGACUACAUCAACCGUGUUCUCAUAACGCUUCCACUUACGGUCUACGAGGGUACGUGGGCGAUACUCUUCCCUCUCGUUGCUAUGCAUCACCAUGAUCUUGCGUGUGAGUAGGAAAUUUUGAAAUUACUACGUUCCCCAACACCCACCACAUCUAUGAUGAUAUCGGGUUUUGUCAUAAUUAUCAUCAUAGAAGUGUCAUAAGCAUGACAAUUUUUUUCGUCCGACCCAAAAUUUCACGGAUGUGUCUUUUGUUUUGUAGUGCAUUCCAGUGGCAAGCUAUACUUUCUACCCGUCACAGGUAGGUUCUUCCAAAUAAGCCCAUUGGCUCAAUAGUGCAGUGGCGGGCGGCAUCUCCCUAGUAUGUGGCUGGUGGUGUGCAGCGCUCGUCACAACUCUAGAUUGGAAAACCGUGCCAAACACAUCCAAAAUUUGUUAAUAUUUGUGGUGGCGGGCACACUAAUACGCCCACCACAACUAUUCUGCUUGGUGCCAGGAGAAUCGUCAUGCCCGCAUAUAUUUUUGGUUUUCCCCUCAUUCACUCACCCAGUCAGUUCCUCUUCUCCCUCUACCACUUCUACGCCGUAGUGCGCCCCGCCUGCCACUAUCGUCAUGCCUCUGACCCGCACCAACGCUGGAUCUUCUAGAUGGACCGUCCUUCUCCGCGGCCAUCACUGGAUCUGCUCGCUGUUCACCUCCGACCCGCGACGCCGCAAGAUUUGCUCGCCGCCAUCCACCUCGACCGCCGCCACCGUUGUCCGACUCGACCGACCGCCACCAUCAUCUGCCUCGACCGCCGUUGCCAUCGUCCACCUCGACCUCCACCGCCGUCAUCCGCCUCGACCAUCGCUACAGGUGUAAUAAUUUCGUGUUCUUCUAUGUUAAUUACCUUCUUGAUUUGAAAUGGAAAUUUAUAGAUCUAGGAUCAAAGUAAGAACCCCAUGGAUAAUAGAACAAAAAUGCGAUAUUUUUUAUAUAGUAGACCAAAAUGUAAUACCUUUUGCGUGUCAGUAAAGAUGAAAUCUAUGAUCAAGGUGCUUUAGGAUUGGUUAGACUCUAAAUAUGACAAGUGGCAAAUUUGACAACUGGUUGGGCUUAUUAGAGACUUGAACAUGAGUGCCAACGUUUUGGUGAAACAUUGAUUAACUUCCAUCCCAUCAAAGUUUUGGUACUCAAUAUAUUCAAUAUUAAGCAAAGGUCCUGCCGAAUUUUUGUGUUCUUCGGUGUUAGCUUAUUUAUUUGAAGGGAUGGGGUUGCAUUCGGGUCAUCAAACCAUUUACAAUUAAUCACUACGUCAGAUUGAUUAUUAGGGACCAUGAGGCGUAAGGUCUGCAAGGUCUACCAAAUUCAUGUAUGUACAGUCUUGAAACUGCAGUGCAGUGCAGGUAUUUUUUAGAAAGGGAUUUAAAAAAAUCUAUGGUAACAGUCUUUAACUUGAAUUUGUACUGAAUUCUGAUUAUUUUUUAACAGUUUUACCGAUUACUAACUGCCGCAUAGUGUGUCCCAUGCAACAUAAGGGAGGACUUCAACAAUUCAUAUGGUAACGUGUUGUACUUUGAGGAUGAUGAGGAACGCGAAACUGAAUUGAAUCUGCGUAAAGGAAAGAAUAAAACCAUCAUAUAUGGUGAUGGAUCGGAGUAGUACAUUGCAGUGAACAAUUUUAAAGGAGGAGAACUCAUAGGCUUUUCCUUAAAAGGAGAAGUGAAUAGGUUAAGGGCAUUAUAUGUUGACAAUGAUGAUGAUGACGAUGACCAAGAUGACCAGGAUGAUGAAGAUGAGGAUGACCAAGAUGACCAGGAUGAUGAAGAUGACCAAGAUGACCAGGAUGAUGAAGAUGAAGAUGAGGACAUCCAAGAUGAAGAUGAGGACAACCAAGAUGAAGAUGAGGACAUCAAAGAUGAAGAUGAUGGUCCUAUCCUUUCUGGAUUUUUUUCUCAAAGGAUCAAGAAGCUUACUCGGGACAAGACAGCUAAUGUGAAGGUAAUAUCACCAUCCUCUUUGGCCUUCUUGGGGAAGCCCUUUGUGCAACAUCUAACAAAAACCAACAUGAUCAAAAAAAUUAUGGUGAGAUGUUUUAUAUUCUUUCAUCUCUUUUUGGUCAUAACCAAGUAUGGUGAGAUCUCUAACAUUGCAUGCUUUCUAUUUUAUCUUAAU
RNAcentral lists this long non-coding RNA (32941 nucleotides) under Triticum aestivum (bread wheat). RNAcentral's name for it is "long non-coding RNA (TAES_LNC020538)". The record is from RNAcentral. Lineage: Eukaryota; Viridiplantae; Streptophyta; Magnoliopsida; Poales; Poaceae.